GACGAACGCUGGCGGCGUGCUUAACACAUGCAAGUCGAACGGAAAGGCCCUGCUUUUGUGGGGUGCUCGAGUGGCGAACGGGUGAGUAACACGUGAGUAACCUGCCCUUGACUUUGGGAUAACUUCAGGAGACUGGGGCUAAUACCGGAUAGGAGCUCCUGCUGCAUGGGGGGGGUUGGAAAGUUUCGGCGGUUGGGUCUGGACUCGCGGCUUAUCAGCUUGUUGGUGGGGUAGUGGCUUACCAAGGCUUUGACGGGUAGCCGGCCUGAGAGGGUGAACGGCCACAUUGGGCCUGCGAUACGGCCCAGACGCCUACGGGAGGCAGCAGUGGGGAAUAUUGCACAAUGGGCGGAAGCCUGAUGCAGCAACGCCGCGUGCGGGAUGACGGCCUUCGGGUUGUAAACCGCUUUCGCCUGUGACGAAGCGUGAGUGACGGUAAUGGGUAAAGAAGCACCGGCUAACUACGUG
This 468-nucleotide ribosomal RNA is filed under the name uncultured bacterium. Its description in RNAcentral is "partial 16S ribosomal RNA". It matches the Rfam family "Bacterial small subunit ribosomal RNA", at positions 28 to 507 of the family's 1533-position model. The record is from RNAcentral.